ACUCUCCCCACUCCCUCCUUUUCACUUUCCCCGCUCCCUCCUUUUCACUUUACCCGCUCCAUAAAGCCCUUUCAGUUACCUUUCACCAAAAUUACUCUGGCCAAAAACCUUUUCACCAAAAUUUGUGUUUCUCCAUCGGCAGAUCGUCGGUGUGUUCUUCGUGCAAAUUGCAGUCUCAACCUCACCAGCGUCGCAACCCAUCUAUCUCCGGUAACGUCUUAUAUUCCCUUUCUCUCGACCUUACUUUGUUUAUCUUUAAAGUUCAGUUACAACUAUGCUUUGCGUUUUUGGUUGCUAUGGAGUUUAAUCGGUAUCAAUUGAGUUUAUGGUUCACCAUCAAUGGGUCGUUUUGUGUUUUUCGAUGAGAUGAAUUUGUUAGUGUCUUUCUUUUUCAUUUAUAUAAUAAAAAUAGUGCGAAAAUAUAGUUGUUGUAUCUUUUCAAACCCUUAUCCUUACACAUGUGAUUUUCGUUUCAUUUCUGUCACCUUUUUUUUUGGAUUAUUAUAAUGUGGAUUUGAAAGAGUCUCCGUUCUUUUAUGUACGAUGUUGGUAGGCUCGGUUCAGUGACAAGGGUAUCUCUAUUUCUCUAUGCUUCUAGAUGUGAUAUUCAGUUUACAAAUAAGCUCACUUUAAAAGAAAUAUUCCGUUUUGAGAUACUAAUAAUGAUUAAUUAAAUAUUUGUUAACAAACUUCAAUUCAAUAAAAAAUGAUAAUACCUAAAAAAAAAUGGACCCUAUCAUAAAAAUAGCCUCAUUUGCUACAGACCCAUUCUUAAUUUGCUACAGCCUCAUUUGCUAAGGGUCCAUCAUGUUGUCCUCAAUCUACCCUAUCAUAAAUGAACCCCUUUGGCCCUUUCCUUUCCAUUUGAAAAUUAAGGUUUAUCUUUUGGCUGUUAGCUUGGGUUGCUUUUUCAUGUCUAGUCCAACCAAGAGAUGAAGGAGAUUUUUUUUUUUAACAUUAUUUUUUUUACAUUAUUUUUUUUACAUUAUUUUUUUACUAAUAAAACAAGAGAAAUAUAUUUGUCAACUAUUUUACCCCUUUAGCAUCAUAGCUAGCAAGUUGGAUGGCUAGGCUAUUCUACCCGUUUAGUAGAUUUUUGUGUCAACAUCACUUAAUUUAAUCAAAUAAGCAGUGAAGAAUGACCAUUUAGUUAGAAUCCCCGAAAGAGCAUGAUGAUCAUUGUGGACCAGCUUUAGAGCCCAUAUCAACCUAACAAAUAAUGUCAAUGUUUACAUCUGGAGAACAACCCUUUGUUGUAAAUGUUACUUAAUGCUUUUUCAAACUGAACCACUAAUUUCAAUGUCUAUGUCAGGCAAUAUAAAAGUUUCCUUUAUUAUUAUCAAUCUUACAAUAAGUCUCUCUUCUUAUUUCACUCGCUUCGUAUCUUUUGUUGACUUGGUUCCUUAUGCAGUCAAAGAGAGAAAUAUCCUUAUAGAAACUUGAUUGAAGAAGAGGUUAAAAAAAAUUAAACAGAGACAAUAGUGUGGUAUAAUAAAAUGCAUUAGACAGUAAGAAAUAGUAAGGUUAAACUCAUAACUAUUAGUAAAAAUUGUCAUAGAACACAUCGCCUCUAUGGGUCUCACUAUGAAUGAGGCCUAUAUACAAGAGAGGAGAUUUGUGGCAGUAAGGAGCAUUUAUUCCACUUUAGGAGUACAUAAGUUCAACCCCUAUAUUAGACCUCAGUAGCCGGUUCAGGUUAUUGGACCAUGUGUAGCUUAUCCAAAACAAUGUCCUUAUCAACUAAAUGCAUUUACUCAUCAACUACUACACUGUUCAGGUUCUAAAAUUUUGCAAUAUUAAUAUGGUCAGGUGCAACCAUUAUCAGAGAUUUCAAUGAAGAGUUUUCAAUUCUAUAACUUUAAUUGUUGCCCCAAAUUUUUAUAAAUCAGUAGUUAGGAAUCACUGUUCGUAAAAGUCAUCUGACAUGUAUAGUAUAAUUCUAUCUGCCGGUUAUGAAAUAUUUCCUUAUCUGCAUAUCGCCAAAUAUAGUAAUUGUUCAUUUAAUAAAUUUUAAGUUCAACGAUAAUGGUUCUCAAUCUUAAUUUCCCUUUUACUACCAACUGUUACUGAUUGCAUUUUUAAUUGCAAAUAGAUUAAGUGCUUCACUCUUUAGCCUAUUUGUUUUCCAUAUAUUUACAGCCUGCUAGCGCAACCAACUAAUUAAAUGGACUUUCAUGAAGAGGUUUCAACUCCAUAACUAUAACGGAUCCCUAGGUAUCAUACAGUAGUAGUUGGAAUGGAUAAACUUGUAACUGAUCAAUGAUAGUAAGGGUUUGUUCAAACUUAAUUAGUGAUCUUGAGUUCGCUAACCAAUCAUUAGUAAGAGGUUGUUUCAUCUUAAUCUCGAAUUCAAGUCUUGUUACGCAACUGUGUUAAAAACUUUGAUUGGAAAGAAUGAAUUAAUGUGCUUGGAACUUAGGUGUAUUAUUGAGUUUUGUAAGUAUAACACAUCCAUUUAUAUAGUAUUCGUAACAUCAUAAAUUUUAUUGGCUUUACAUAUUUUGUGGAGGCACUCAUGCUUUGCGUGGAAAUUUUUGGAUCUGAAUUUCUAGCUUCUGCCAGCUCUAUUUCUCUUAGAACAUUAGAAACAAAAUGUAACUUCUCUAGCAGCUACAAUUACUGUUAAGGGAACAAAAUCUACGGCAAAGGGAGCGCUCUCGCACUAGGACUUCUUGCCAUCAAGGUGUAUUUAUUGUAAGAUGUUUGUGUUUUGCAUCCGUUGUGCAGCCUGAGUUGCGAUUAUUAUUGUUUAUAUGUGA
Long non-coding RNA from Gastrolobium bilobum, 2759 nucleotides. RefSeq lists it as uncharacterized. The transcript is spliced from 3 exons. NCBI's taxonomy places the organism in Eukaryota, Viridiplantae, Streptophyta, Magnoliopsida, Fabales, Fabaceae. The record is from RefSeq and is a predicted model, not a curated record.